This 198-nucleotide ribosomal RNA is filed under the name Flavobacterium caseinilyticum. Its description in RNAcentral is "Flavobacterium sp. AT-3-2 partial 16S ribosomal RNA". It matches the Rfam family "Bacterial small subunit ribosomal RNA", at positions 1335 to 1533 of the family's 1533-position model. Lineage: Bacteria; Pseudomonadati; Bacteroidota; Flavobacteriia; Flavobacteriales; Flavobacteriaceae. The record is from RNAcentral.
CUAGUAAUCGGAUAUCAGCCAUGAUCCGGUGAAUACGUUCCCGGGCCUUGUACACACCGCCCGUCAAGCCAUGGAAGCUGGGGGUGCCUGAAGUCGGUGACCGCAAGGAGCUGCCUAGGGUAAAACUGGUAACUAGGGCUAAGUCGUAACAAGGUAGCCGUACCGGAAGGUGCGGCUGGAACACCUCCUUUCUAGAGC